This 468-nucleotide ribosomal RNA is filed under the name uncultured bacterium. Its description in RNAcentral is "partial 16S ribosomal RNA". It matches the Rfam family "Bacterial small subunit ribosomal RNA", at positions 28 to 507 of the family's 1533-position model. The record is from RNAcentral.
GACGAACGCUGGCGGCGUGCUUAAUACAUGCAAGUCGAACGGAAAGGCCCUGCUCUUGUGGGGUGCUCGAGUGGCGCACGGGUGAGUAACACGUGAGUAACCUGUCCUUGACUUUGGGAUAACUCUAGGGAACUGGGGCUAUUACCGGAUAGGAGCUACUGAUGCAUGGUGGGGGUUGGAAAGUUUCGGCGGUUGGGGAUGGACUCGCGGCUUAUCAGCUUGUUGGUGGAGUAGUGGCUUACCAAGUCUUAGACGGAUAGCCGGCCUGAGAGGGUAACCGGCCUCAAGGCGACUGAGAGACGGCCCAGACGCCUACGGGAGGCAGCAGGGGAGAGUAUUACGCAAUGGGCGGAAGCCAGAUACAGCAGCGCCGGGUGCGGGAAGACGGCCUUCUGGUUGUAAACCACUUUCGACGUUGACAAAGAGUGAGUGACGGUAAUGAGUAAGAAAGCACCGGCUAACUACGUG